Molecule: ribosomal RNA, 469 nt
Filed under: uncultured bacterium
Lineage: Bacteria
Description: partial 16S ribosomal RNA
Rfam family: Bacterial small subunit ribosomal RNA
Source: RNAcentral
GACGAACGCUGGCGGCGUGCUUAACACAUGCAAGUCGAACGGAAAGGCCCUGCUUUUGUGGGGUGCUCGAGUGGCGAACGGGUGAGUAACACGUGAGUAACCUGCCCUUGACUUUGGGAUAACUUCAGGAAACUGGGGCUAAUACCGGAUAGGAGCUCCUGCUGCAUGGUGGGGGUUGGAAAGUUUCGGCGGUUGGGGAUGGACUCGCGGCUUAUCAGCUUGUUGGUGGGGUAGUGGCUUACCAAGGCUUUGACGGGUAGCCGGCCUGAGAGGGUGACCGGCCACAUUGGGACUGAGAUACGGCCCAGACUCCUACGGGAGGCAGCAGGGGGGGAAUAUUGCACAAUGGGCGGAAGCCUGAUGCAGCAACGCCGCGUGCGGGAUGACGGCCUUCGGGUUGUAAACCGCUUUCGCCUGUGACGAAGCGUGAGUGACGGUAAUGGGUAAAGAAGCACCGGCUAACUACGUG